UCUCUUUUUGUACAACAUCUCAUACACAACUCAAAAUUAUUGGUAAAAAGUCGCUUUAACUUACUAUGAGCAGUAGCAAUGGAUGCACAGAUGUAGUACAUGGUCAAACUGUUGUCAGUGAUAACUAUGGACUUGAUGGAUUGGACACUAUAUCAGAAACUCUAGUAGACGAGGUAUUACCAGAUACAUCAUCUAAUUAUUCAGCAUCUCCAGAUGAAUCAAAUCGCCUCAUAUCCCUUAUGGUACCAAAAAUAGCCACAUGGAAUGAACAAAAUAGCAAAUUAUUGGAAAAAGAUAACGUACGAACAACAUCCUCAAUAGAUUCGUCUAUAUAUCAAAAUUCGGAUAGUGAUGAACUGGAUCAGAAUGACAAACCACAGUUGUCCAGAAUUUUGAAACGGAUUACUUGUAAAUCAAACUCUGAGUCCAAAACUUCAACUGAUACAAUAUGCCGGAUAUGCCAUGGAGGCGAGAGUAGCGACGAUCUGGUGAAGCCUUGCAAGUGUCGUGGUACAGUGGCCCUAGUCCAUUUGAAAUGUUUGGAAAGAUGGCUCAGAGAGUCCAGUCAUAGUAACUGCGAGCUAUGUCAGCAUCACUAUAAAAUUAUACGACAACCGAAGUACAGCAUUAUUAAAUCUAUUUUUGUCUUUCUGCGACAUCCUGGAACACAUUUAAAAGAAAUUUUAACUGAUUUGUUGGCCUUUUCGCUGUACACUCCGUCUGCGAUUGCUUCGACCUACAUGUUAAUGAUGAUAUGCGAAUCACUCUUAAAAAACAAUAUUAUUGUCAGUGGCUCACUCUCAUCCCAUCUGAUUGCUUUUUCAGCGGUGUUUGGAAUGGCAGCAGCCAUAUCUAGUUCUUAUUGUUGUUGGGUGUUAUACCGUCUACUAAUUCAUUUUUGGGUUUGGAGAAAAUGGUACCAGUCUACAGUGGAUAUAAAACUGAUUUUAUGAAAAAAUAAAAUUACCAAGCCAAUUAGUUCAAAGAACUAAUGCUAUAUAAAGGCAUAGCCGCCAUAGACUUUACUUAUUCCUGCUGGAUCAUGUCACUAGCAGAGAAACACUACAACGUUUGGAGUGACUGGUACAAGAAGAAUUUAAAACUCAAAGUUGUCGUUUCGAAACUGGACACUAAAACAGUCAAAAGGAAAAAACCAAGGAACACUAAAUAUCUGAAACGAUCCAACAAAGUCUAAAUCCAAACGGUGGUGAACUGAUAAGUAGAAGUGGUGGUGCAAAUAAAAAAUUUCGAAAACGA
This is an RNA transcript of Aethina tumida (small hive beetle), 1257 nucleotides long. It is a transcript of the gene named E3 ubiquitin-protein ligase MARCHF3, with no coding region annotated. Lineage: Eukaryota; Metazoa; Arthropoda; Insecta; Coleoptera; Nitidulidae. The record is from RefSeq and is a predicted model, not a curated record. The transcript is spliced from 7 exons.